RNAcentral lists this ribosomal RNA (253 nucleotides) under uncultured bacterium. Its description in RNAcentral is "partial 16S ribosomal RNA". It matches the Rfam family "Bacterial small subunit ribosomal RNA", at positions 524 to 776 of the family's 1533-position model. The record is from RNAcentral.
UACAGAGGUGGCAAGCGUUGUUCGGAAUUACUGGGCGUAAAGGGCGCGUAGGCGGUUCGUUAAGUCCUGUGUGAAAUCCCCCGGCUCAACUGGGGAACUGCACAGGAAACUAGCGGGCUUGAGUUCGGGAGAGGGAAGCGGAAUUCCGGGCGUAGCGGUGAAAUGCGUAGAUAUCCGGAGGAACACCGGUGGCGAAGGCGGCUUCCUGGACCGACACUGACGCUGAGGCGCGAAAGCUAGGGGAGCAAACGGG